Molecule: transfer RNA, 71 nt
Filed under: Liobagrus kingi (King's bullhead)
Lineage: Eukaryota; Metazoa; Chordata; Actinopteri; Siluriformes; Amblycipitidae
Description: tRNA-Thr
Rfam family: tRNA
About the family: Transfer RNA (tRNA) molecules are approximately 80 nucleotides in length. Their secondary structure includes four short double-helical elements and three loops (D, anti-codon, and T loops). Further hydrogen bonds mediate the characteristic L-shaped molecular structure. tRNAs have two regions of fundamental functional importance: the anti-codon, which is responsible for specific mRNA codon recognition, and the 3' end, to which the tRNAs corresponding amino acid is attached (by aminoacyl-tRNA synthetases). tRNAs cope with the degeneracy of the genetic code in two manners: having more than one tRNA (with a specific anti-codon) for a particular amino acid; and 'wobble' base-pairing, i.e. permitting non-standard base-pairing at the 3rd anti-codon position.
Source: RNAcentral
GCCCUAGUAGCUAAACAUAAAGCGCCGGUCUUGUAAUCCGGAGAUCGGGGGUUCAAGUCCCCCCUAGCGCC